AGAAUCUGAAGUCGCCUUCGCACUCUUCAUAUAUUUACCCUAGCUUCUCAUAGGAAACUAAACAUGUGAUGAUUUUUGUUCAUGUAGAGUGUGUGCCCUUCGAUGGCGAAGGUGAAACAUUUCUUCAGUGAUAGAUUUCAUGUCACCCUCCCAGUCCAGCUUGCUGAGCUCCAGUUCCAUAUCGUCUGCGCUCCGAGGCCAUAUAUUAACAGAACUGCUUUCUUCAGUCUUCAAAUUCUCAUCUGGUGAUCAGGAGCUAGCUCCCAGUACGGUGGGUGGCUGGGAAGCUGUAAGCAGUCGCCGAAAGGUCUUGGUCUAGCAGAUAUCAUCAUGUUCCCUCGGUCACUACACUAUGGAAUGCUCAAGAGUGAUCCGGCACAGGCCAUGUUCCAAGUGAUGCCAUUCCUCCUCUUGCUGAUCCACUAGGCGCUAGGGUUUCCUUUUGGCAUAGUUUGUGUCCCAAGUUUUUUUUCAGUCUUCCUUUUAUUCUGUGUUCAUUAUGUAUGUACUUGUGUUGGCCUGUGCGCAGGUAGCUGCAGCGGUUGUUUUCUUUGUUUUUAGUGUUCUUAUGAGUAUGUACACUAGACGUUGGGCUAAUUUCUUCCGAGAGCAUGUACCUGGCGUUGUGGACGUAAUAAUGUAGUAUGCCAUCGAUCGUACAAACAUAUAUACGUAACAAACACUCUUUACAUAUUGUGAAC
RNAcentral lists this long non-coding RNA (701 nucleotides) under Zea mays. RNAcentral's name for it is "drought responsive lncRNA". Lineage: Eukaryota; Viridiplantae; Streptophyta; Magnoliopsida; Poales; Poaceae. The record is from RNAcentral.